Molecule: non-coding RNA, 118 nt
Organism: Ascodesmis nigricans
Lineage: Eukaryota; Fungi; Ascomycota; Pezizomycetes; Pezizales; Ascodesmidaceae
Source: the annotation of a GenBank genome assembly
GGCAGGAUGGCCGAGUUGGUUAUGGCGCCAGGUUAAGGUCACCUUAAUUCGCUAGCCUUGUGUUAGCUAAUUUCCUGGUUCGGGAAACUGAGCGUGGGUUCAAGUCCCACUCCUGUCA